AAACCCAUGCGGCACUCGUACCGCAAACGGACACACGUGGUCGGGUAGAACAUACUGAGGCGUUGAGAGAUUCAUGGUUAAGGAACUAGGCAAAUUGACCCUGUAACUUCGGGAUAAAGGGUCCUCGUGAAUAGCGAGGCGCAGGGAAUAGGUCCAGGCAACUGUUUAACAAAAACACAGGGCUGUGCAAACUCGAAAGAUGACGUAUACAGCCUGACACCUGCCCGGUGCCGGAAGGUUAAGAGGAGAUGUCACUCGCAAGAGGAAGCAUUGAAUUGAAGCCCCGGUAAACGGCGGCCGUAACAAUAACGGUCCUAAGGUAGCGAAAUUCCUUGUCGGGUAAGUUCCGACCUGCACGAAUGGUGUAAUGAUCCGGACGCUGUCUCAACCAUGAGCUCAGUGAAAUUGUAGUAUCGGUGAAGAUGCCGAUUACCCGCGAUGGGACGAAAAGACCCCGUGAACCUUUACUACAGCUUAGCAUUGACCUUGGUCAUCCGAUGUGUAGGAUAGGCCGGAGGCUUCGAAGCGGGAGCGCCAGCUUUCGUGGAGCCAUCCUUGAAAUACGGCCCUUUGGCUGUCUGAGGUCUAACGCGUGAUACGCGGACACUGCUUGGUGGGUAGUUUGACUGGGGUGGUCGCCUCCAAAAGCGUAACGGAGGCUUCCAAAGGUGCCCUCGGGUCGAUUGGUAACCGACCUCAAAGAGUGCAAUGGCAUAAGGGCGCUUGACUGGGAGGCAGACAUGCCGAGCAGGCAGGAAACUGGGGCAUAGUGAUCCGGCGGAUGUGUAUGGAAACUCCGUCGCUCAAAGGAUAAAAGGUACUCCGGGGAUAACAGGCUGAUCCCCCCCAAGAGCUCAUAUCGACGGGGUGGUUUGGCACCCCGAUGUCGGCUCGUCACAUCCUGGGGCUGGAGAAGGUCCCAAGGGUUGGGCUGUUCGCCCAUUAAAGUGGCACGCGAGCUGGGUUCAGAACGUCGUGAGACAGUUCGGUCUCUAUCUAUCGUGGGCGUGGGAGUUUUGAGUGGUGCCGUCACUAGUACGAGAGGACCGUGAUGGACAGACCUCCGGUUUACCAGUUGUGCCGCCAGGCGCACCGCUGGGUAUCUGAGUCUGGAUUGGAUAAGCGCUGAAAGCAUCUAAGUGCGAAGCCAGCCGCAAGAUGAGAACUCCAUUGAGGGUCGUCAGAGACGAUGACGUCGAUAGGAUGCAGGUGUAAAGACAGCGAUGUCAAAGCCGAGCAUUACUAAUUGCCCUA
This 1254-nucleotide ribosomal RNA is filed under the name metagenome. RNAcentral's name for it is "bacterial LSU rRNA". It matches the Rfam family "Bacterial large subunit ribosomal RNA", at positions 1627 to 2912 of the family's 2925-position model. The record is from RNAcentral.